Molecule: ribosomal RNA, 253 nt
Filed under: uncultured bacterium
Lineage: Bacteria
Description: partial 16S ribosomal RNA
Rfam family: Bacterial small subunit ribosomal RNA
Source: RNAcentral
UACAGAGGGGGCAAGCGUUGUCCGGAAUUAUUGGGCGUAAAGAGCUCGUAGGCGGUCUGUUGCGUCGGCUGUGAAAACCCGGGGCUCAACUCCGGGCCUGCAGCCGAUACGGGCAGACUAGAGUUCGGCAGGGGAGACUGGAAUUCCUGGUGUAGCGGUGAAAUGCGCAGAUAUCAGGAGGAACACCGGUGGCGAAGGCGGGUCUCUGGGCCGAUACUGACGCUGAGGAGCGAAAGCGUGGGGAGCGAACAGG